AAGUCGUAACAAGGUUUCCGUAGGUGAACCUGCGGAAGGAUCAUUAGCACGUAUCCAAACGUUAAAACCCCCCCCGUGAACCUUCAUCCUGCUCUUGUAACCCGCGUAGUUCGCAAUCUCUGAUAAAUCAUAGCCCGGAAAGUUGUAGUGAUUCAGAGACCUCUGGCUACGUGCAAACAUUGGAACAGUUACAAUCGAGCGAUAUCCAUUGUUAACAGUUGUUCGGUUUUUUUACCCAAUGUAUUACAUUGAGCUUCACAUUAAACUGUGGGGUUAUUAGGGGGCAUGGGGACCCUACGGUCUACAGGAAUCGUAGAAGCGCUAUCCUUGCAGUUCUC
RNAcentral lists this unclassified non-coding RNA (338 nucleotides) under fungal sp. RNAcentral's name for it is "partial internal transcribed spacer region". The stretch from base 1 to 46 matches the Rfam family "Eukaryotic small subunit ribosomal RNA", at positions 1786 to 1831 of the family's 1831-position model. The record is from RNAcentral. Lineage: Eukaryota; Fungi.